This is a long non-coding RNA of Marmota monax (woodchuck), 5378 nucleotides long. RefSeq lists it as uncharacterized. The record is from RefSeq and is a predicted model, not a curated record. The transcript is spliced from 3 exons. Lineage: Eukaryota; Metazoa; Chordata; Mammalia; Rodentia; Sciuridae.
AGCAGGCUGCGCGGGUGGGGAGCGCGGGCCAGGGCGGCCCUUCAGCGCCUGGCUGCUGGCCGGGAGGGGCUUGCACGCACGCCGUCCCUAGCCAACCUCGCUGCGCGGGCUUGCGGGCUAGCUCGGGUGCACCGGAGGUGCUGUCGGGCAGAGCGCGGGAUCACGCAGAAGGCCGGCGCGCACAGACCCAGAUUUCUCUGGAUGGACAGACCCAGCCUGGGACCCUGGGCUGGAGGUGCUGAGUGGAGCGGCCACAGGGAAGACGGCCCCCUGAGCCCACUGAGGCGUGCGAGUGUCGAUGCAGGAGGCUGCCCACCUGCAGGACAGCGGGGAGAAGUGUGCUGUGGACAGACGCACACAGGCGGCCAGGUGGUGACACGCAGAGCCUGGAGGGCGCACCAGCCAUCCCAGGAGCCCAGGAGCAUGGUGACCCCCGGGAGCAGGAGGGUGGGGCGGAGGCUCCCUCCCAGCCUCAGAGGAAGCAGCCCUGCUGCCCCGUCAGCCCUGGCCUUCGGAACCCAGGGGAAAUGGAUUUCUGCUUCUCUAAGCCACCCAGUUAGUGACGAUUUGUCAUGGCAGCUCCUGGAAACUAAUACAGGUUCACAGACCUGAUUUUCCGUAUGCCGAUACAGACAUGCAUUUGUUAGGUAAAAGCCUGUGGGUAACGCUCAGUUCCUUCGACAGCGUUAUCGUGAUAAAAUGAGCUCAUUCAUACAUUUUAUAUGCCGAUAAAGACAAAAGAUCCAGGAUACACAAGGUUCCUCUUGUUUCAAUUAUUUUAUUCUUUUAAAUGACAAACAAUGUGGCAAGACAAACAGAAAAAAGAGUCUUCAUGGAACAAAUACCAGGGGAUCCGUGCACCUCAGCGAUCACCCUUCCAGGCCUGCGAACAGACGCUGCUCAGCAGCUACGUGUGCAGCGCCUCUGCAUCUGUGCUUGGGGAUCGCUCUUUGAGGACUGGGAGCAGAAAAUGCCCCCUGGGCUGCCAUGGAGAUUCCUGCUGCCUGGCUCCUGGUGUGAGCCGAUCCUGGGUGGCUUCGUCUCCCCAGGCCUCUGGGAGCCCAGUGCAGGCAGGUGACUCUGUCCUCCCGGAUGCAGUUCCACCCCAUAGAUCUUCCCAGUCCCUUUUCUGUGGCUAUUGCUGAAUACCAGAGGCUGGGUGUAAAGAUGUAAUGAUAAAGGUUUAUAAAGAUAAUAGGUUUGCUCAGCUCGAAGUUUUAGAGUGUGAAGGUUCAAGAUUGGGUGGCCCCUCGUGUUUGGCCUUUGGUGAGGGACCUUGGGAUGUCACAACAUGGUGGACGGCAUCAAGCUGAGGGUGUGAGGCAAGGAGCCUGAGGGUGGGAGGGGCCAGUCUUGAUCUUCUGUGAGUCCUUCCAAGGGCACGCCCAGUCACCUCACCAGCUUCUCCUAGGCCCCGCCUCCCGUGCCAUCCUCUGAGACCCAGCCUCCGUGCCGUGGACCAGGAGGACAAGCCACAUCAGCCUAGGAGGACCCGGUCUGUGUCAGGUCUUGGGAGCUCCAGCCAGACCUCCCGCCCUUCUGCAGGAGGCCAAGAGCACCUUGUCCCUGAGAUGCAGCAGCGUCCCAGGACUUGUGCGAGGCCCGGGAGUACGUGGUCAGCACUUGCUUGGUCAGCACCACCUUACCCAGCCCCCACAGCUCUCGGAGACCUGCCUCCGUCACCAGGGGCUCCACCUGGCCCCUGCGGUGAUCCUGGAGAGAACCCCCUGCCCUGGGGGAGCAGGACCGGGUGGACAUCAGGUGCUCCUGCUCCUCGCAGAGCCUGGCCUGCUGGGCUCUGCCUCCGCCUGACCGCCAGCCCCGAUCCCUCCUGCCAUCUGUCGGGAAACAAAGACGGGAGGCCCAGUCAGACAGGGACUGUGGGGACGGAGGCUGCCCGCAGGCCAGCGAGGCUCCCCACGCUUGAUGAGCUCCUCUGACCCAGCACCCCACGUCUCACUGCCAGAAGGAAUGACAGGGGCACGAAGGCGGACACUCGGCUGGGAGGGACAGCAGCCUCAGGACCAGCCUCAGCUGGGGCCGGUGGCAGCGCGGCAGGUGGCACAGCAGAGGAUGAGCAGGUGGGAAUUUGGAACAGCGAUGACCCCCACAUGGCCCCAGCGGGUGUGGCCCGCUCAGGUCCUAGUGAAGGGACCUCUGGUUGCAUUCUCAGAAGGCAGAGAGACAGAGACAGAGACAGAUACAGAGCAGACGGGGAGACUGGCUCGUGCCGCCCUGAGGCUGGAAAGGGAGGGCAGCUGGGGAAAUGCAGGCGGAGCUGGUGCUGGCCACUGGAGGGCUAUCCUUCCCUAGGAGCCUCGGUUUGCUCUUAGGCCUUCGCCUGAUGGGACAAGACCCACCCACACCAUGAAGGUCCUCGGUGUCACUUGGCCAGCUGAUUGCAGGGCUUAACAGUACCUACUUCUGCAGUGACACUUGGACCAGGGUUCAACUGAAGAUCAGGACCCUGAAUUCUGGCCACAUGGACAAUAAGCCUGACCAGGGCAGGGGCUGGCAGAUGUACUCUGCCUGGCUGUGUCCCUCUUCCCUGCAGGCCAGCCUCUGGGGCUGGGCGUGUAUCUGCCGCCAGGCCUGUCCACUUAGAUUUUUGUGGCGGGACUGGCUGCACACCAGGGUCGUCAUCAACAGGCUCAUCUGGACUGUGCAGGUGACCAGGUGGCCUUUCUGCCCCUAGCAUGUCUGUGUGAAGACGUGUCUAAGACGUGUGACCUAGAGCUGGCCCCUACCUGCAGCUGGUGGGUGGGGCCAUCGCACACGUGCAGAGAGGACAACAACCUGCACUGAGCCACCCUCCACUGGUGACCCCGUGGCCACCCAGCGGGCUGCUUUGCAGAUGAGGAAACCGAGGCCCCAGAGGUUAGGUAUCGUGCCCAGGCUCAUGCGGCUGGUAGGUGAUGAGCCAGGAUAGGAGCCAGACCCUCUGCCCUGCUCCCCGGAGCCCGUGGCACAUCUGGGGUGUCCUGCAUGCGCCUGUGCAGGAAUCAGGCUGACAGCUGGGUCAGGACGCACAGCCAGGAGACUGGACCCCGGCACCAAAUCCCCUGUGACAACUGGACACCUCAUUCUACUCUUGGUGCUGCGUCUCCUUGUCCAGAGUAGGACACACCCCUCCAUCUCCUUUCUCUGGAAAGUUGUGAGAAUUUGUUUCUGUCGAAUCGUUUGAAGAAUCAUGAAAAAAAUUUUUCAAAUGCCAGUUUUACAAAAUAAAGGAUUGGUCGUAGGUUUCCCUUUGGGGGGCCCUGAGACCACAGGAAUCCCAGCGUUCCUGGGAUAUAGUGAAUGGACCUGACUUCCCUGCUGACACGCGGUGGCUUCGCAUUCCAUGUUUGGUCACCAUCAGAGGAGACCUGGGGCCUUCUAGAGAUGGGCACGUGUGUCUCCAGGGCCCGGAUUCGGGCCUUUCCGAGGAGCCCUGGGCUGACACUCCUGUAAGUGGUGUCUGCACACUUGAAGCGGCUCUGACAGCUGGUCUUGAGGGGCCGUAACUAGACACCCUGCAAACUGGAAGAGAUUAGCUCUGACCACAGGGCACCCAGCAGACCGGCACUUAAUAACCUUCCCAAAUGUGUGAAGCACUUAGUUCUAGAAUAACAGGAAGAACUGGACUGCGGCACGGCGGGCUUGAGAUUCCUCCUGGCCAUCCUCUUCCUCUGGCCAGCCAGCACGGUGACCACAGCCCCGUCCAGCUUCCCAGGGUCCCCCUCCUGGGGCGGCGCGUCCCAGGGAGAUGACAUGCAGGCUCUGUGUCCUGCACAAUGACUCCCUGAGGCCAGUCUUCCUGAGGAAGCAGCCCAGGCUGCAGCCCAGGCCAGGGAAACGUGAGUCUCCACCAAAUCCUCCGCGCCACGGAAACCGCUGCAAAAUUGCUCCCUUCCUCCCCGCAUGGCUGGGCCAGCGGCUCCGGGAGGCCUCCGACAAGAGGGCAUUGUGUGGCUGGACCCCUCCCCUGCCACAAAGGGGGCCUUUCAGGGCUGCCAACGGGGCGGGUGGGGACCCCGAGGCCCCUUGGAGACGGCUCUGGGGCUCCGAGGCGCUCCUGGAACUCUUGGGGUGCUCCUUCUCGGCGCCGGGCUCCGCUCCUGCCAGAGGCCCGCGGGUUCGUGCAGGGAGAAGCGCUCGGCUGUUAUGUGAACAGAGGGACAGAGAACGCUCGGAUUUCUCUGUCGGGAGGUCAUUUCCCCCGGAAGGUCCACAUGGGGAUGGUGGAUUCAUGGUGGGAGCCUCGUUCAGAAAGGGACGCAAGAGACUGGCCGUCCUGGUGGCCUCGGGGAGCUGGGAGUUUGGAGACAGCAGAGGAGGGAAAGAAACUGCGCGGCGUGUCCCCGCAGGCUUUGGAAGACGGACACGGGAACAGAUAUCUAAUUUAAACAUAUCUUCAUCCUGCCCAAGGCCAAGUGUAUACCGUCUCAGAGAGGGAGGGCGUCCGGGAGGCAGGAGCCCAGCCGGCUGCUGGCGAGGCCCCGUGCCUGCUGGGAGAUCUGCUGUCUGCAGAGUAGCCUCGCUGUGCCAGUAACCAAGGGACUGUGGGCUCCGGGGUUCAGUGACUUCAGCCGCCUGUGGUGACCACUACCCUCUUCGGAUAGAAGUGCUGUUUCUUUUUCAUGGACAAAAUGGUUCUCAGACUGGAGGCCACAUUCCCUCCUGCCUCCUGGGUGAGGCUGGCUGGGCUGAGGCUCAUGGGGGCUGCUGCCCAGGGAGGCCAGAUUUACAGCUGAGCUAGGGAGGAGGCCCAGGAGGAGGAGCAGCCCCAGGGACCUCCUGCCACCCUUGCCACCAAGGCGGGGUCACUGGCCUCUGUGCAUGGGCAGGGAGGGUGUUGUUCUCCAAGGACACGGCACUCGCUGAAGCCAGUGUUUUAUUGCUAGAAACAGGAGAGCCCGACCUUGAUCCACCUCUGCCCCCGUUAAAACUAACCGAAAUGUCCCCUGUGUCCGAGUGACCCCAAGCAGGAGGACUGAGCUGCAGACUUUCCACCAGGAGGCUGGGCAGCUGCGGAGUCUUCCAGUGUGAUGGGCACAAUCCGUUCUGCCUGUGAAGCCAAGAGGGGACAAACAGGUCUGUUGAGGGCCGCAGCCGAGUCGGGAUGACGCAUGGCAUUUUUGACAGAAGUAGUGGUCGAGAGGUGACCCCAGGGAGCCAUUAAGAUGAUGACUUUUGAGUUCUCGCGGAGUUCCCGUUGAGUUCCGGUUGAGCUCUCCCGGGGAUUCCUGCAGAGUUCGCGUUGGUUGGUGAGGUUCCUGUGGGGGGAGUUCCGGUUGGUGUGUGGUGGUUGCUGGAGGAGUCGCGUGGGUGGCGUUCGGGAGAGUUCCCGGGGAGUGUGCUGGUGGAGUUUGGAAAUAAAGUUUGUUCCUGCUUGA